Molecule: long non-coding RNA, 2608 nt
Filed under: Homo sapiens (human)
Lineage: Eukaryota; Metazoa; Chordata; Mammalia; Primates; Hominidae
Description: HSALNT0107332
Source: RNAcentral
GUAGGUUAUUUGUUUCUUUUCUCUUGUUGCUUGCAGAUCCUUUCUUUAUCCUCAACCUUUGGGAGAUUGACUAUUAAAUGUCUUGAGGCAGUCUAAUUUGUUUUAAUUCUGCUUGCUAUUCUAUAACAUUCUUGUACCUGAAUAGGGAUAUCUUUCUCUAGGUUUGGGAAGUUCUCUGUUAUUAUUCCCUUUGAAUAAACUUUCUACCCCUAUCUCUCUCUCUACUUCUUCUUUAAGGCCAAUCACGGUUAGAUUUGCCCUUUUCAGAUUAUUUUCUAGAUCAUGUAGAUGUGCUUCAUUCUUUUUUAUUCAUUUUCUUUUGUCUCCUCUGACUGUGUAUUUUCAAAUAGCCUAUCUUCAAGCUCACUAAUUCUUUCUUCUGCUUGAUCAAUUCUGCUGUUAUCACCCUGAUUCAUUCUUUGGUAUGUCAAUCGCACUUUUCAACUCUAGAAUUUUUGCUUGUUUCUUUUUUAAAUAUUUCACUCCUUUUGUUACAUUUACGCGAUAGGAUUCUAAAUCCCUUCUCUGUGUUAUCUUGAGUUUCAGUGAGUUUCUUCAAAACAGCUAUUUUGAGUUCUCUAUCUGAAAGGUCACAUAUCCCUAUCUCUCUAUGAUUGGUCCCUGGUGCCUUAUUUUGUUUGUUUGGUGAAAUUAUGUUUUUCUGGAUGGUCUUGAUGCUUGUUGAUAUUCAUCAGUGUCUGGUCAUUGAAGAGUUAGGUAUUUACCAUAGUCUUCACAGUCUGGGCUUGUUUGUACUUGUCCUUUUUAGGAAAGAGUUUCAGGUAUUUGAAGGGACUUGGUGUUGUUAUCUAAGUUUUUGAUCAUUGCACCAGUAUCUGCAUUUGUGGGCCCCCCAAGCUCAGCAACGGUGUGUCUCUUGUAGACUCACAGAGGCACCACCUAGGUGGUCUUGGAUAAGAUCCAUAAGAAUCCCCUGGAUUAUGAGGCAGAUAAAUUUUUGUUCUCUUCCUUUACUUUCUCCCCAACGAACAGCAUCUCUCUCUCUCUCUCUCAUUCUCUGCAAAGCUGCCUGUUCUGGGGGGAGGCCUGACACAAACACCUCUGAGGCCACCAUCACUGGCACUGCUCUGUGUUAGACUUAGAACUAGCACAGCAAUGGGUCUUGCGGAAGGUCCGCAGUAACCACUGUCUGGCUACCGCCUAUGUUUGCUCAAAGGCCCAAGGGCUCUACAAUCAGCAGAUGAUUAAGCCAGUCAGGCUUGUGUCUUUCUGUUCAGGGUUAUGAGUUCCCCAGUCCUGGGUGGGUCCAUAGAUGCUGUUUGGGAGCCAGGAACUGGAGUUAGAAGCCAUAGAAAUCUAACUGGUACUCUCUUCCACUGCAGCUGAGCUGGCACCCAAGCAGGAAAACAAAGUUCUUCUCACUCUUCUCUCCCUUUUCCACAACCAGAGCAGUCUCCCUCCAUGGCCACUACCACCCCAGGCUUGUGGCGAGUACUGCCUGGCUACCACCGAUGUUCACUCAAGGCCCAAGGAGUCCUCAGUCAGUUUGUCCAGAAGCAGUCCCUCAUAAUCACCACACCUGGGAAUGUGCCAAGUCUCAUCUGAAGUAAGCGCAGCUCUGAGUCUCACCCAACGCUCAUGCUACAGAGCAGCAUCUGAAGAGCCACGGGGCCCCCACCUUCAUCCCUGAGAAUUUUAGGAGCCAGCCUGCCUUUCCAGGUGACACUGGACACUUUCAUCUGAGAACCCUGUCACAUGACAGUUGUUUCCUUUCUUCCUCCUCUCCUGGGAAUGCUGCUGCUUCGAUGACCCAAGAGCCUAAGAAGGGUAGCUGUUUCUCAAUACACUGAGAGAGAGUUCUUUCUCCGUCCUGACCAUCUUGGGACCCGAUGGCAAGACUGGAAGGAUUUAUAUCUCCUUUUGUACAGAAAACUGCCUCCCCAUGUUGGUUUGUGAAGUGAAAUGCAUAUAAAACAGAGGAUUCCAGACUCUCAGAAGUCAAUACAUAAAUAAAUAAAAAUAAAACUGAGAAGAUACCUCAAAAUGGUCAGACUCAUUAGCAUCAUCCAGGUGUAUUUUCUCUUCAAACAGUGUCAGUGGGUCUCUAAUAAAGAGAUGAGCAACAUGCUGGGCCAGGAGAUGAUCAAUGCCUGCAAAAAGAGAUCACAUGGGAACUCACUGCAAAGCGAGAGAUACCACUUCCUCUUAGUCCAGAAAGACGACAGGAUAGCUCAGGAAGUUUGAAGAAAGGGUGUCUAGAAGCUUGAAAUAGCUGGUUUGAUUAGUAUCCUCACCUCACCCAGUAUUUUAUCCUGCGGACACUGCGGGAGUGUCAGCGUUUUAUUCACUACUUACACAAUGCCUGCUGGGGCACUGGUGUGGACCUAGACACAGACCUCCAAAGUAAGCUCCUUUUGCUAAAAAUCAAGAAAAUCUCACAAGUAUUUGGAACCUGAAACUUUAGGAACAAGUAGCCUCAUGAGAGAAGUUAAAGACUUUGCACUAAAAAUAGAAACCAGACCAGGAGUCAGCAAAAAAGUGUAAAAGAGCUUUGAAGAACUAAAGGCGUACAUUCAAACCCAGAAAGAUGGAGUAGAAACCCACCUUCCUGCAACAGCUGUUCGUAGAUCUCUUUAUCUAUCGUCAA